Molecule: ribosomal RNA, 473 nt
Filed under: Escherichia coli
Lineage: Bacteria; Pseudomonadati; Pseudomonadota; Gammaproteobacteria; Enterobacterales; Enterobacteriaceae
Description: bacterial SSU rRNA
Rfam family: Bacterial small subunit ribosomal RNA
Source: RNAcentral
AAAUUGAAGAGUUUGAUCAUGGCUCAGAUUGAACGCUGGCGGCAGGCCUAACACAUGCAAGUCGAACGGUAACAGGAAGCAGCUUGCUGCUUUGCUGACGAGUGGCGGACGGGUGAGUAAUGUCUGGGAAGCUGCCUGAUGGAGGGGGAUAACUACUGGAAACGGUAGCUAAUACCGCAUAACGUCGCAAGACCAAAGAGGGGGACCUUCGGGCCUCUUGCCAUCGGAUGUGCCCAGAUGGGAUUAGCUAGUAGGUGGGGUAACGGCUCACCUAGGCGACGAUCCCUAGCUGGUCUGAGAGGAUGACCAGCCACACUGGAACUGAGACACGGUCCAGACUCCUACGGGAGGCAGCAGUGGGGAAUAUUGCACAAUGGGCGCAAGCCUGAUGCAGCCAUGCCGCGUGUAUGAAGAAGGCCUUCGGGUUGUAAAGUACUUUCAGCGGGGAGGAAGGGAGUAAAGUUAAUACCUUU